Molecule: ribosomal RNA, 460 nt
Filed under: uncultured bacterium
Lineage: Bacteria
Description: partial 16S ribosomal RNA
Rfam family: Bacterial small subunit ribosomal RNA
Source: RNAcentral
CCUACGGGAGGCAGCAGUGAGGAAUAUUGGUCAAUGGGCGCGAGCCUGAACCAGCCAAGUAGCGUGAAGGAAGACUGCCCUACGGGUUGUAAACUUCUUUUAUAAAGGAAUAAAGUGCGGCACGUGUGCCUUUUUGCAUGUACUUUAUGAAUAAGGAUCGGCUAACUCCGUGCCAGCAGCCGCGGUAAUCCGGAGGAUCCGAGCGUUAUCCGGAUUUAUUGGGUGUAACGGGUGCGUAGGUGGGAUGUUAAGUCAGUUGUGAAAGUUUGCGGCUCAACCGUAAAAUUGCAAUUGAUACUGGCAGCCUUGAGUGCAGUUGAGGUAGGCGGAAUUCGUGGUGUAGCGGUGAAAUGCUUAGAUAUCACGAAGAACUCCGAUUGCGAAGGCAGCUUACUAAACUGCAACUGACAUUGAUGCUCGAAAGUGUGGGUAUCAAACAGGAUUAGAUACCCUGGUAGUC